Non-coding RNA from Cinara cedri, 213 nucleotides. The record is from the annotation of a GenBank genome assembly. Lineage: Eukaryota; Metazoa; Arthropoda; Insecta; Hemiptera; Aphididae.
UGAAUAAUUUCGAAAUAAACGUUUCGCAAAACAUUUUCCUGUGACUAUAUAUUAUAAUAUAAUAUUGUACGGGAAGUAUUUUUUUUUUUCCAUUGCAUUGUUCAAAAUCAAUGAGCUCGGUAAACGGAAACGAAUAUAAUAGCGAAUGCAUGGCGAUUUAAAAUUUCAAAAGAAAAAAGAAAAUCAAAGUGUUAAAUAAAUUUAUGUAUAGAA